GGUGAACCUGCGGAAGGAUCAUUACCGAUGUGAAAAAUCCAAGGUUAAACAUCAUUAACCAGUGUGAACUGUGAAACAACUCUUUAGGGGUCGGCACAGGCGUGUGUCGUUAAAUGGCGGAUAGGUUCCUUCCGCCAGCCCCGCCAUUGUGUUUAUGAUAUCACUUUGAACGUUUAAGACUGAGAACGUAUGUAUCAUGCAUUAAAUGUAUGAGAAAGAAGGAAAGAAAAAUGAGAGACAACUUUUGACGGUGGAUCUCUUGGCUCACGUAUCGAUGAAGAACGCAGCCAGCUGCGAUAUGUAGUGUGAAUUGCAGAAUUCAGUGAAUCAUUGAAUCUUUGAACGCAAAUGGCGCUCUUGGGUUCUCCCAGGAGCAUGUCUGUCUGAGUGUCGGAUUUUAUCGAACGCACUCGUGAGUGCGGUAUUGAGGUGUCACGGCGUGUUAGCAAGCAAGCAAGCAUUAAAUCGCCGUGUCCCUUGAAGGACAGCAGCAUUGGACUCGCAUUCUCUAUUGAAACUUGAGUGCGAAGGCUAAAGAUAAUAUUUUCCUUCGCCCAAACAUGCAAUAGCAGAAACAAAAUCCAAUCAAAGCGGUGACAGACAAUGACAACAUCAAAUCUUGACCUCGGAUCAGGCAAGGCUACCCGCUGA
RNAcentral lists this small RNA (651 nucleotides) under Porites lobata. RNAcentral's name for it is "eukaryotic LSU rRNA". The stretch from base 240 to 393 matches the Rfam family "5.8S ribosomal RNA". Lineage: Eukaryota; Metazoa; Cnidaria; Anthozoa; Scleractinia; Poritidae. The record is from RNAcentral.